Molecule: ribosomal RNA, 497 nt
Filed under: uncultured bacterium
Lineage: Bacteria
Description: partial 16S ribosomal RNA
Rfam family: Bacterial small subunit ribosomal RNA
Source: RNAcentral
GAUGAACGCUGGCGGCGUGCCUAAUACAUGCAAGUCGAGCGAACAGACGAGGAGCUUGCUCCUCUGACGUUAGCGGCGGACGGGUGAGUAACACGUGGAUAACCUACCUAUAAGACUGGGAUAACUUCGGGAAACCGGAGCUAAUACCGGAUAAUAUAUUGAACCGCAUGGUUCAAUAGUGAAAGACGGUUUUGCUGUCACUUAGAGAUGGAUCCGCGCCGCAUUAGCUAGUUGGUAAGGUAACGGCUUACCAAGGCGACGAUGCGUAGCCGACCUGAGAGGGUGAUCGGCCACACUGGAACUGAGACACGGUCCAGACUCCUACGGGAGGCAGCAGUAGGGAAUCUUCCGCAAUGGGCGAAAGCCUGACGGAGCAACGCCGCGUGAGUGAUGAAGGUCUUCGGAUCGUAAAGCUCUGUUAUUAGGGAAGAACAAAUGUGUAAGUAACUAUGCACGUCUUGACGGUACCUAAUCAGAAAGCCACGGCUAACUACGUG